Molecule: unclassified non-coding RNA, 274 nt
Filed under: uncultured fungus
Lineage: Eukaryota; Fungi
Description: partial contains small subunit ribosomal RNA, internal transcribed spacer 1, and 5.8S ribosomal RNA
Rfam family: Eukaryotic small subunit ribosomal RNA (bases 1-73)
Source: RNAcentral
UCAAACUUGGUCAUUUAGAGGAAGUAAAAGUCGUAACAAGGUCUCCGUAGGUGAACCUGCGGAGGGAUCAUUACCGAGCUCGCGCCCCCCGGGGGCGGAACUCCACACCCACUGUCAUCGCUACGAUUGUUGCCUUGGCGGGACCGCCGCGCCCCGCGCGCCCGCCAGAGGCCCCCACAGACCCCGCGCGUGUGAUGUCGUCUGAGACCUAAUUCAAUGAAUCAAAACUUUCAACAACGGAUCUCUUGGUUCUGGCAUCGAUGAAGAACGCAGC